Molecule: long non-coding RNA, 290 nt
Filed under: Elaeis guineensis (African oil palm)
Lineage: Eukaryota; Viridiplantae; Streptophyta; Magnoliopsida; Arecales; Arecaceae
Description: long non-coding RNA (EGUI_LNC023361)
Source: RNAcentral
CAGUGCUUGGAUAGUGUGAUUAUCUAGGAAAGCCAUAAAGAACUAAUCGGGAGAUAGUUGCUUGGUCCAUGAGCCCGCCCUUCUGGCCUUAUGGGCAAGGGUUGCUGAGAUGUUGUCGACUUUGAUUGGACGACCAAAGGACUCAACAAAGGCAGCCCGCUCCAGAUAUUUAGAGAUUUCAGCCAUCUCACAUGACACUGGAAUGAAAAAUUUUUAGAGGAGGGGUGUUGAGAGGUUUAGUGUUGUGUGACUGCAUGAUGCUGUGUAUGCUGCAUGUUGUAGUGGGCAGU